Hydra vulgaris (swiftwater hydra) is the source of this 1625-nucleotide long non-coding RNA. RefSeq lists it as uncharacterized. The record is from RefSeq and is a predicted model, not a curated record. NCBI's taxonomy places the organism in Eukaryota, Metazoa, Cnidaria, Hydrozoa, Anthoathecata, Hydridae.
GGAUGUAUUACUGUUGCCCCCAGUACCAGGAAUCAGCUAAAUAUAGCUAUUUCAUUUAACCUAUUUUUCAAAAUUUAGAACAAUUAUUUAAAUGUCAUCUACAAUAGAGUAUGUGUGUCAAAAAUAUGUUUUAACUUAUUGUUUACAUGUUUAACUUAUUGUAAACAUGACAAAUCAAUAUCAAUUGUUCGUGUUGAUGAUGUCAUUGGCUGGACUCAAGAGCAGUUUGAGAAACUCAAAAUUUGUAGAAGAGUAAAACUUAUGGUGAACAAUGAUGAUAGUAUGAAUAAGGUAUUAGUUUUGCAAUGCGCAACAAGUUAUGAAGGACUCAAAGAUACUUUAAGGUUUGUUUUUGAAAUGAAAAGAAAAAAACAAACAAUAGGUUUCAUACAAACUCAUUUCAAUCCAGUCCGUGACCUAAACAGACAAAGACUGCCCCCAGUUUAUCCUCUUCACACAUCUUCUGAAGGUUCAAAUUUUGAUACAGAUCCUUCUGAUUCUAUCGCACCACAUAAUCAGGAUACUGCUGCUAAAGCAGUUGCGUUAAAGCCUCUGCCACCACUUAAAACUCAAAAGUUUCCUGUUUCAUACAAGGCAUUACUUAAUAUGGCUACUGAAGCAGUUGCUUUAAAGCCUCUGCCACCACUUAAAACUCAAAAAUCUCCUGUUUCAUACAAGGUACUGCAUAAUCAAGAUAUGGCUACUGACGCAGUUGCUUUAAAGCCUCUGACAUCACUUAAAUCUCAAAAACUUCCUGGUUUACAUAAGGUUCCAAGCGUACAACUACCUUUAUCUACCCAACCAAAUGUUUCAAAUGUUACACGAACAGAUAUUCAGUCAAUUUCAAGUCCCCAUGAUUUCACUGACACAAGUUUAUUGCGGAUGCACGAUAGUAUGCUAGAUGUUUGUAGCCGUCUUAAUGUUGAACCAUUUAGUGCACAAGGACAGUUUCUUAUGAAUGCAUACAUUCUACGUGAAUUGACAUCAAUUCCGUAUAAGUUAAAUAAUCUGGAACAAAGACAGGGAGGAUUAGAGGCACGUGUUUGCAGUGUUCCUAUUGAUAAAAAUACCUCAAAUAUCCAAUUUCCUGUUUUUACCUCUCCGAUGCAAUAUUCUGAAGUUGCUAAGCACCCAAAGGAUAUGUUGUCAUGGAUGAAGUUUGAAGGAGGGAUGAUUGUCAAUGACCAUAUUUCUCGCGUCUUAAAUAAAUUGCUGACGCAUGACUUGCAACGUAAUAUAAACAGGACCGGAAGUCAUGGCAAGCUCAAGUUUUUUGAUAACCUGGAAAAUCUGCUCAAAACGUCAACUAUUCAUUUUUUCCCCGGUACCACGACAAAAGAAAUUGAAUUAAAAGUAGCUCGAUUUUUUAACAACGCCAGAGAUCGCUCUGGUGCUCGAAUGCAGAGAAGUUUAAAAAAGACCGAUGUUUCAAUCGAGGAAGACAAAGAUGACGUUAGUAACGAGGGUAGUGAAGAGGGCAGUGAUAACGAGACACAACAAAAAAAACGAAAAACUUUUAAAUAAAUAUUAGUAUUGUGUUUCAAGUUAAUCUUUAUAUGGAUACAUUUAUUGUAAGUUUUAAUACCUAAAAAUAAAUAAUAUGAAUAAAUAACUAUAAAAAUUCA